GUAAUUUUAUCUAUAAUACCAGCUCUUAGUUUAAUAAAAAAGAUUUAAUAGUAUCUCGUAGACUUUCAAAAGCUAACAAACCUGAGCCAGAUUUUACCCGUGGUCCAAAGUAUAAGGGUUAUUUUAAAAAUAAUAAUGUAAGGCAUCACUUUCAAAAUUGUAACAAAAGAAGUAUUGGCAGAAGGUUCUAAUGCUUGGUAGAAAAGAACACGCGCGGAUACACAGUAAAGCCAGUAAUACGAUUAAAACACCGUCUGUCGCUAUACUUGGUACUCUUUUAAAAAAAUUAGCAAUUUUAUUAGCUACUGAAUAUAUCAAAAGAGGUAAUAAGGGUUUAUAAAAAAUGUAAAAAGUUUUUUGAAACUUUUGGAAAAAGAUUAUACAAUAAUAAAUAAAACAGCAGAGGAAACUGUAGCACAAAUUAAAUGGUAUAAUAAAGAUAAAUUACCAGGUAUAAAGAACACAUAAAUUAUAUUACUAUUUGACAGACACAAGAAAUAUAUUGUAUAAUGAUCUUAUUAAAUUUUAUGAUUACAGUACAUGGUUAAAAUCAUUAGGAGUAACGUUUAUUUCUAAGCAAAUUUAUAACAGACAAAGAGCAGGUGAUAUAGUAAAAGUUCUAAUAGAAGAUUCCAAAUGUUAUGACAGUGUUGGAGAGUAUACAAACCCAGAAGUGUAUAAUUCAUUAUCAGAAACUGAAAAAGAGGUUAUUAAAAAAUUGGUCACAUUUGACAUUAAAGAACUAUGUACUUUGUCUGUAUUAUUGCAUUCGUAAUUACAACACUACGUUGAAUUGUUAUUACAACUGCAAUGUCACAAAGUUAUAAAGCAAUUGUUAUAAUCAAAUGCGUAAAUAGAAUCACGAAACCCUUCUUUUUGGCAUUCCUGGAUACGGCAAACAUCGAUAUAAACAUUCAAUGAAAACGUGUCAACUUAUGCAGGGCUGUUCUUCAAAAUGUCAAGCAGCAAAACCUCUUGCGAGCAUUCUUUAUUUGGAUCAACAAAAAGAAAGCAAUAGAUUCCAAAGGAAGCGCAAUUAAUAUUAACAAGUUUUCGUCAGGAAUAGAAAAAUCACGUCUACCUUCUGCAAGAGAUAUUGAGAUUUUAAGACAAAACAUCCAUGUCUACACAACCGUAAAGUACCUUAGAUAAAGACUUGGCUUUACAACAUUGUGUGGUACAACAAAAAUACCAAAGAUUUAAUUAAUUUCAUUA
Molecule: long non-coding RNA, 1215 nt
Organism: Temnothorax curvispinosus
Lineage: Eukaryota; Metazoa; Arthropoda; Insecta; Hymenoptera; Formicidae
Exons: 3
Source: RefSeq, a predicted model, not a curated record